CCUACGGGUGGCAGCAGUGGGGAAUAUUGGACAAUGGGGGGAACCCUGAUCCAGCCAUGCCGCGUGUGUGAAGAAGGCCCUCGGGUUGUAAAGCACUUUCAGUGAGGAAGAACGCCUGGUGGUUAAUACCCAUCAGGAAAGACAUCACUCACAGAAGAAGCACCGGCUAACUCCGUGCCAGCAGCCGCGGUAAUACGGAGGUUGCGAGCGUUAAUCGGAAUUACUGGGCGUAAAGCGCGCGUAGGUGGCUUGAUAAGCCGGUUGUGAAAGCCCCGGGCUCAACCUGGGAACGGCAUCCGGAACUGUCAAGCUAGAGUGCAGGAGAGGAAGGUAGAAUUCCCGGUGUAGCGGUGAAAUGCGUAGAGAUCGGGAGGAAUACCAGUGGCGAAGGCGGCCUUCUGGACUGACACUGACACUGAGGUGCGAAAGCGUGGGUAGCAAACAGGAUUAGAUACCCUGGUAGUC
RNAcentral lists this ribosomal RNA (465 nucleotides) under Vreelandella stevensii. Its description in RNAcentral is "partial 16S ribosomal RNA". It matches the Rfam family "Bacterial small subunit ribosomal RNA", at positions 338 to 795 of the family's 1533-position model. The record is from RNAcentral. Lineage: Bacteria; Pseudomonadati; Pseudomonadota; Gammaproteobacteria; Oceanospirillales; Halomonadaceae.